AUCUGAGGUCAAAAAAGCCUUCCGACAUCUCGCUCUUCAGUAUCAUCCUGACGUUUGUAGAGGAAGUAAUUGUGGCGUGCAGUUUCAUCAAAUCAAUGAAGCUUACGAUAUUGUGAUGAAUAACUUAAGAGGAAUAUCAACACCAAUAGAGACAUAUGAGACAUAUGAGGAAGCGGUGGAUGAACCGAUGAGAGGAAUGGAGGAUCCAGAUUGGGAUUUAUGGGAAGAAUGGAUGGGAUGGGAA
Molecule: unclassified non-coding RNA, 244 nt
Filed under: Hevea brasiliensis (rubber tree)
Lineage: Eukaryota; Viridiplantae; Streptophyta; Magnoliopsida; Malpighiales; Euphorbiaceae
Source: RNAcentral